Molecule: long non-coding RNA, 396 nt
Organism: Heterocephalus glaber (naked mole-rat)
Lineage: Eukaryota; Metazoa; Chordata; Mammalia; Rodentia; Bathyergidae
Source: Ensembl
AAUCUACGCAUCAUAUAGUGCCUAGUCACCUUCCAAACACGCAUAGAAGACAAAACAAUCAGCUGAACAUGGUGGUGCAUGCCUAAGAGGCUGAGGCAGGAGGAUUUCUACCAUCUAACCACAUUUCCUGGAUCAGGAUCUCAUAAGGCUGAUACCAAGGUGUCAGCUCUACUGAAUUCUCACCUGGAGGCUCCACUGGAGCAAAUCCACUGCUAUAGUUUAGAUCUAAAAUAUUCCCUAAAACUAUUGGUUCAAAGGUAAGGCUUUUGGAAAGUAAUUAUGUCAUAGGAGUGCUAGACUUAUCAGUGGAUCCAUGCAUUGAUGAGUUCAUAGUUGAAUGUGCUGUAAGGUGAGGCCUGGUCAGAACAGGUAAAUCACUGGGGGCAUGAUCUGGAA